AGCGAACGCUGGCCGCAGGCCUAACACAUGCAAGUCGAACGAACCUUUCGGGGUUAGUGGCGGACGGGUGAGUAACACGUGGGAACGUGCCUUUAGGUUCGGAAUAACUCAGGGAAACUUGUGCUAAUACCGAAUGUGCCCUUCGGGGGAAAGAUUAAUCGCCUUUAGAGCGGCCCGCGUCUGAUUAGCUAGUUGGUUGAGGUAAUGGCUCACCAAGGCGACGAUCAGUAGCUGGUCUGAGAGGAUGAUCAGCCACAUUGGGACUGAGACACGGCCCAAACUCCUACGGGAGGCAGCAGUGGGGAAUCUUGCGCAAUGGGCGAAAGCCUGACGCAGCCAUGCCGCGUGAAUGAUGAAGGUCUUAGGAUUGUAAAAUUCUUUCACCGGGGACGAUAAUGACGGUACCCGGAGAAGAAGCCCCGGCUAACUUCGUG
Molecule: ribosomal RNA, 434 nt
Filed under: uncultured bacterium
Lineage: Bacteria
Description: partial 16S ribosomal RNA
Rfam family: Bacterial small subunit ribosomal RNA
Source: RNAcentral